GAGAAACGGCUACCACAUCCAAGGAAGGCAGCAGGCGCGCAAAUUACCCAAUCCCGACACGGGGAGGUAGUGACAAUAAAUACUGAUACAGGGCUCUUUUGGGUCUUGUAAUUGGAAUGAGUACAAUUUAAAUCCCUUAACGAGGAACAAUUGGAGGGCAAGUCUGGUGCCAGCAGCCGCGGUAAUUCCAGCUCCAAUAGCGUAUAUUAAAGUUGUUGCAGUUAAAAAGCUCGUAGUUGAACCUUGGGCCUGGCUGGCCGGUCCGCCUCACCGCGUGUACUGGUCCGGCCGGGCCUUUCCUUCUGGAGAGCCCCAUGCCCUUCACUGGGUGUGCGGGGGAACCAGGACUUUUACUUUGAAAAAAUUAGAGUGUUCAAAGCAGGCCUUUGCUCGAAUACGUUAGCAUGGAAUAAUAGAAUAGGACGUGUGGUUCUAUUUUGUUGGUUUCUAGAACCGCCGUAAUGAUUAAUAGGGAUAGUCGGGGGCAUCAGUAUUCAAUUGUCAGAGGUGAAAUUCUUAGAUUUAUUGAAGACUAACUACUGCGAAAGCAUUUGCCAAGGAUGUUUUCAUUAAUCAGUGAACGAAAGUCAGGGGAUCGAAGACGAUCAGAUACCGUCGUAGUCUUGACCGUAAACUAUGCCGACUAGGGAUCGGGCGGUGUUUCUAUCUUGACCCGCUCGGCACCUUACGAGAAAUCAAAG
RNAcentral lists this ribosomal RNA (701 nucleotides) under Angustimassarina acerina. RNAcentral describes it as "SSU rRNA". It matches the Rfam family "Eukaryotic small subunit ribosomal RNA", at positions 398 to 1103 of the family's 1831-position model. The record is from RNAcentral. Lineage: Eukaryota; Fungi; Ascomycota; Dothideomycetes; Pleosporales; Amorosiaceae.